AUGAAUAAGUUCUCUGGUAAUAUUCCUAAGGCCCUUGGUAGCAUAGGAAGCUUGCAGGAAUUGUACCUAGCACAUAACAACUUGUCAGGGACAAUCCCAUUAGUACUACAGAAUUUGAUAUCAUUGAACAAAUUGGAUAUAUCCUUCAAUAAUUUGCAAGGCGAGGUGCCAAACGAAGGUGUUUUCAGAAACAUCACUUACUUAGCAGUUGCUGGCAAUGUGAAUUUGUGUGGUGGUACAUCUCAACUUCACCUGGCUCCAUGCUCCACAAGGAAGAACAAUAAAAGGAUGUCAAAGUCUCUUGUAAUUUCUCUAGCAACCUUUGGAGUAAUCGUGUUCUCUCUAUCAGUUAUUCUUCUUCUUUGGAUAUUGUGCAAGAAACUCAAACCAAGCCAGAAGAUAUUGGCACGAAAUUCAAUUGUAGAUGACCGGUACGAGAGAAUCCCCUAUCAUGCAUUACUGAGGGGAACUAACGGAUUUUCAGAAGUCAACUUGCUUGGGAGAGGAAGUUAUGGUGCGGUUUAUAAGUGUGUUUUGGACAAUGAAGAAAGAACAUUGGCUGUCAAGGUGUUUAACCUUGGUCAAUCUAGGUAUUCAAAGAGUUUUGAGGCUGAAUGUGAGGCUAUGAGAAGGAUACGACACCGUUGUCUCAUUAAGAUCAUUACUUCUUGUUCUAGCAUCAACCAGCAAGGUCAAGAGUUCAAGGCAUUGGUUUUUGAAUUCAUGCCCAAUGGUAACUUGGAUAGCUGGCUUCAUCAACCAUCUGAAGAUCCCACUACAAACAACACGCUCGGCCUUGCCCAGAGGCUUGAUAUUGCUGUCGAUAUUGUGGACGCAGUAGAAUAUUUGCACAACUACUGUCAGCCCUUGGUAAUCCACUGUGAUCUUAAGCCAAGCAACAUUCUUCUUGCUGAAGACAUGAGCGCCCGGGUUGGAGACUUUGGCAUAUCAAGGAUCCUUCAAGAAAAUACAAGUGAGGCGAUGCAAACUUCAUAUGGCUCAACUGGACUUAGAGGUUCCAUAGGCUAUGUUGCUCCAGAGUAUGGAGAAGGCUCCGCAGUCUCUACAGCUGGUGAUAUUUAUAGCCUUGGCAUAUUGCUUCUUGAGAUGUUUACGGGAAGAAGCCCAACAGAAGGCACGUUCGGAGAUUCAUUGGGUCUGCAUAAGUUUGUCGAGGAUGCUCUUCCAGAUAGAACCAUGGAGAUAGUUGACCCGACAAUGUGGUUGCACAGCGGACCACACAAUAAUACUACAAUUAUUAGAAUUCAGGAGUUAUUGGUUUUAGUCUUGAGACUUGGCAUAUCCUGCUCAAAGCAACAUCCUCGUGACCGAGCAUUGACAAGUGAUGCAACAUCGGAGAUGCACGCAAUCAGAGAUGUAUACCUCAAGUUCGUAGGGGAGCAUGGAGCAGAACCAGAAGCCUCGACUCAAGAAAUUCAGAGCAGCGUUGCAUAA
This 1455-nucleotide ribosomal RNA is filed under the name Triticum aestivum (bread wheat). RNAcentral's name for it is "partial small subunit ribosomal RNA". Lineage: Eukaryota; Viridiplantae; Streptophyta; Magnoliopsida; Poales; Poaceae. The record is from RNAcentral.